AACGAACGCUGGCGGCGUGCCUAACACAUGCAAGUCGAGCGCGAAAAGGGCAACCUGAGUAGAGCGGCGCCCGGGUGCGUAACACGUGGGUAAUCUGCCUUAGAGUCGAGGAUAACCUUCCGAAAGGUUGGCUAAUACUCGGUAAGCUUACGGUGUCUUCGGACGCUGUGGGAAAAGUAGGCCUCUGUUUACAAGCUUACGCUCUGAGAUGAGCCCGCGGCCCAUCAGCUAGUUGGCGGUGUAACGGACCACCAAGGCAACGACGGGUAGCUGGUCUGAGGGGACGAUCAGCCACACUGGAACCGAGACACGGUCCAGACUCCUACGGGAGGCAGCAGUGGGGAAUUUUCCACAAUGGGCGAAAGCCUGAUGGAGCAACGCAGCGUGUGUGAUGAAGGUUUUCGGAUCGUAAAGCACUUUCGACCGGGACGAAAAACCUCUGGCUAACAUCCAGGGGCCUGACGGUACCGGGAGAAGAAGCACCGGCUAACUCUGUGCCAGCCGCCGCCGUAA
Molecule: ribosomal RNA, 513 nt
Filed under: uncultured bacterium
Lineage: Bacteria
Description: partial 16S ribosomal RNA
Rfam family: Bacterial small subunit ribosomal RNA
Source: RNAcentral